This 1091-nucleotide ribosomal RNA is filed under the name uncultured bacterium. RNAcentral's name for it is "bacterial SSU rRNA". It matches the Rfam family "Bacterial small subunit ribosomal RNA", at positions 61 to 1202 of the family's 1533-position model. The record is from RNAcentral.
GUCGAACGAAAGUUUUUAACUUUAGUGGCGAACGGGUGCGUAAUACGUGAGAAUCUGCCCUUAGGAGAAGAAUAACUGCUGGAAACGGCUGCUAAAUCUCCAUAUGUCGAGAGAUGAAAUAGUUUAGGCUGCCUAAGGAUGAGCUCGCGCCUGAUUAGCUAGUUGGUGAGGUAAUGGCUCACCAAGGCCACGAUCAGUAGCUGGUUUGAGAGAACGAUCAGCCACACUGGGACUGAGACACGGCCCAGACUCCUCCGGGAGGCAGCAGUGAGGAAUUUUCCGCAAUGGGCGAAAGCCUGACGGAGCAAUACCGCGUGAGGGAUGAAGGAUUUUGGUCUGUAAACCUCUUUUCUCAAGAAAGAAGUUCUGACGGUACUUGAGGAAUAAGCAUCGGCUAACUCCGUGCCAGCAGCCGCGGUAAUACGGGGGAUGCAAGCGUUAUCCGGAAUCAUUGGGCGUAAAGCGCCUGUAGGUUGUUUAUUAAGUCUGUUGUUAAAGACUAGGGCUUAACCCUAGAAAAGCAAUGGAAACUAAUAGACUAGAGUAUGGCAGGGGUAGAGGGAAUUUCUAGUGUAGCGGUGAAAUGCGUAGAUAUUAGAAAGAACACCGGUGGCGAAAGCGCUCUACUGGACCAUUACUGACACUCAGAGGCGAAAGCUAGGGUAGCAAAAGGGAUUAGAUACCCCUGUAGUCCUAGCCGUAAACGAUGGAUACUAGAUGUUGUGCAUUACGUACAGUAUCGUAGCUAACGCGUUAAGUAUCCCGCCUGGGGAGUACGCUCGCAAGGGUGAAACUCAAAGGAAUUGACGGGGGCCCGCACAAGCGGUGGAGCAUGUGGUUUAAUUCGAUGCAACGCGAAGAACCUUACCAGGGCUUGACAUACUACGAAUUUUCUUGAAAGAGAAAAGUGCCUUCGGGAAUGUAGAUACAGGUGGUGCAUGGCUGUCGUCAGCUCGUGUCGUGAGAUGUUGGGUUAAGUCCCACAACGAGCGCAACCCUUAUUUUUAGUUACCAAUUCGUUGGGUUCUCUAGAAAGACUGCCGGUGACAAACCGGAGGAAGGUGAGGAUGACGUCAAGUCAGCAUGCCCCU